UACGGGGGGAGCAAGCGUUGUUCGGAUUUACUGGGCGUAAAGGGCGCGUAGGCGGCGCAACAAGUCACUUGUGAAAUCUCCGGGCUUAACCCGGAAAGGUCAGCCGAUACUGCGGGGCUAGAGUGCAGAAGGGGCAACUGGAAUUCUCGGUGUAGCGGUGAAAUGCGUAGAUAUCGAGAGGAACACCUGCGGCGAAGGCGGGUUGCUGGGCUGACACUGACGCUGAGGCGCGAAAGCUAGGGGAGCGAACGGG
This 253-nucleotide ribosomal RNA is filed under the name uncultured bacterium. RNAcentral's name for it is "partial 16S ribosomal RNA". It matches the Rfam family "Bacterial small subunit ribosomal RNA", at positions 524 to 776 of the family's 1533-position model. The record is from RNAcentral.